UCGGAUAUGGUGUAACGGCUAACAUUGCCGCCUCUCAUGAUAGCAUGUCUGAAUGUUAUUCGCGGCAGCUCGGGGUUCGAUACUUCGGUUCCCCGUAUCCGAA
Armillaria borealis is the source of this 103-nucleotide non-coding RNA. Lineage: Eukaryota; Fungi; Basidiomycota; Agaricomycetes; Agaricales; Physalacriaceae. The record is from the annotation of a GenBank genome assembly.